GAGUUUGAUCCUGGCUCAGAUUGAACGCUGGCGGCAGGCCUAACACAUGCAAGUCGAACGGUAGCAGGAAGAAGCUUGCUUCUUUGCUGACGAGUGGCGGACGGGUGAGUAAUGUCUGGGAAACUGCCUGAUGGAGGGGGAUAACUACUGGAAACGGUAGCUAAUACCGCAUAACGUCGCAAGACCAAAGAGGGGGACCUUCGGGCCUCUUGCCAUCGGAUGUGCCCAGAUGGGAUUAGCUAGUAGGUGGGGUAACGGCUCACCUAGGCGACGAUCCCUAGCUGGUCUGAGAGGAUGACCAGCCACACUGGAACUGAGACACGGUCCAGACUCCUACGGGAGGCAGCAGUGGGGAAUAUUGCACAAUGGGCGCAAGCCUGAUGCAGCCAUGCCGCGUGUAUGAAGAAGGCCUUCGGGUUGUAAAGUACUUUCAGCGGGGAGGAAGGGAGUAAAGUUAAUACCUUUGCUCAUUGACGUUACCCGCAGAAGAAGCACCGGC
This 499-nucleotide ribosomal RNA is filed under the name uncultured bacterium. RNAcentral's name for it is "bacterial SSU rRNA". It matches the Rfam family "Bacterial small subunit ribosomal RNA", at positions 9 to 497 of the family's 1533-position model. The record is from RNAcentral.